RNAcentral lists this ribosomal RNA (411 nucleotides) under uncultured bacterium. RNAcentral's name for it is "bacterial SSU rRNA". It matches the Rfam family "Bacterial small subunit ribosomal RNA", at positions 8 to 418 of the family's 1533-position model. The record is from RNAcentral.
AGAGUUUGAUCCUGGCUCAGAUUGAACGCUGGCGGCAUGCCUUACACAUGCAAGUCGAACGGCAGCACGGGAGCAAUCCUGGUGGCGAGUGGCGCACGGGUGAGUAACGCGUAUGCAACCUACCUAUAACUGAGGGAUAGCCCAUAGAAAUGUGGAUUAAUACCUCAUAGUUCUUUUGUUCCGCAUGGGAUGAAAGAUAAAGCUCCGGCGGUUAUAGAUGGGCAUGCGUGACAUUAGCUAGUUGGUAAGGUAACGGCUUACCAAGGCUACGAUGUCUAGGGGUUCUGAGAGGACGACCAGCCACACUGGAACUGAGACACGGUCCAGACUCCUACGGGAGGCAGCAGUGGGGAAUUUUGGACAAUGGGCGCAAGCCUGAUCCAGCAAUGCCGCGUGCAGGAUGAAGGCCUU